RNAcentral lists this long non-coding RNA (331 nucleotides) under Gossypium barbadense (sea-island cotton). RNAcentral's name for it is "long non-coding RNA (GBAR_LNC006655)". Lineage: Eukaryota; Viridiplantae; Streptophyta; Magnoliopsida; Malvales; Malvaceae. The record is from RNAcentral.
CACAAUAGCAAGUUCAUCAGAGAUCAUUUUUAUCUCAAGUAAAUAUUGAAAAACUCCUGUUAAUCCUUUUAUAACACGAGUUAGUUGAUCUUUGAGACUGUAAAUCCGUGUGUGGCUUUUGUUGGCGUGAAGAGUAUGCAAAAGUAUCCAUGUUUGUUUUGAAGAAUCGGCAGAGACAACAGUGGAAGCAACAGUGUUUUCUACAUAAACGAAGAAUUGCUUGCUAAAGAAGGCGAUCUUGGUGAAACCAUUUUACAUAAGGUUCUCUUGAUUAACAUCAUUUGUUAAAAUUGUCGUUGGAGGAGGGGAUGUAGCACCUGUUAGAUGACCC